AUAGCCCUUCGUUCGGGUACUUGCUAACGGAGGUAGCGGACUAUGUGAAUAAAUUAUUUGAUCCAUUAAAGCAACGCUAGAUGUCACAUGCAGAGAUUCUGUAUUAUGAUUUUAUCGCCGCUUGUGUUGGUGAUGGCGGGUAGCCGGGUAGUGACGUGACAGCGAUUCUGAUGACAAUUCUCAUUCUCAGUGUUUUGGUAAUAAGUUAAACAUUUAACUAUUCAAUUGAUGAAUAGGUUUCCAUAUUGCCGUGACGACCUGUGGACAAGAAAUUGCUGCCACUCAAGUGGUUGUCAUGGACAUCACUUGUGUUGUAAUUUAGGACGAUCUAUGAUUGAUUAGAGUCAGGUUUGCCCCUCGCCGGAUUUAAAUCAGGUUUACUUCUCUGCACUGUGCCAUAAAAAGAAAAUGCUACUGUUACGUAAAUAUUAAUCAUAGCCUACUUCAACACGGCCACUUCUCGUUAUCUUUCUUGGGUCAGCCAGGUUCGGUUAGAUUUUUUGAAAAAAAUGUUUGUGUAGCAUAGCCGAUCUGGAUUUGAUGGACUUACUGAGAUGAAUUGGCCGCGAUUGAAGUAGUCUAUGAUGUAGACAAGUGCAUACUCUGGGCUCCCUUCUUUUCUAUGGCACCGUUUCCUUAAUUAACAACUAACCAACGCCCGCCGGUCGCUGUAAUAACCAGGAGGAGGGGAAGGCUUUAGUCGAACGAGGAAUUGGAAGGCUCACUGAGGAAAACUUUUGGAGGGUCGUGAGUGUAACCAGGAAGCCAAUGACUAAUCCCUCUCUACCAAAAUAUGCCUCGCUCUCUUCUCUCUUCUUCCAUGUCCAGGUAAUCUCCCUGGGCACAGUCUAUCAAGGCAGAGUCUCCCCCUGUCUUGAUUUGCUGGAUUUUUCAAGUGCGAAGUAGAUUGCAAUUCAUAUAAACAGAACUAAACAGAUAAUGGUGAUUUGAAAAAUAAAAACCAUGAAAUUAAGUAAAAAAAAGUAGGAUUGGUAUUAAUACGUGAAUUUACAAUCA
Daphnia pulicaria is the source of this 1017-nucleotide long non-coding RNA. RefSeq lists it as uncharacterized. The record is from RefSeq and is a predicted model, not a curated record. The transcript has 3 exons. NCBI's taxonomy places the organism in Eukaryota, Metazoa, Arthropoda, Branchiopoda, Diplostraca, Daphniidae.